AACGAGGUCCAUUCUGUAGCAAUACAGAGGAAGACCUAGUGGCGAACGGGUGAGGAACACGUGAGGAACCUGCCCCGAACUUUGGGAUAACAGUUGGAAACGACUGCUAAUACCGAAUGCCGUUACGAAGUGGCAUCACUUUGUAACGAAAGAAUUUCGGUUCGGGAGGGCCUCGCGGCCUAUCAGCUAGUUGGUGGGGUAAUGGCCUACCAAGGAAUCGACGGGUAGCUGGUCUGAGAGGAUGAUCAGCCACACUGGGACUGAGACACGGCCCAGACUCC
RNAcentral lists this ribosomal RNA (281 nucleotides) under unidentified marine bacterioplankton. Its description in RNAcentral is "partial 16S ribosomal RNA". It matches the Rfam family "Bacterial small subunit ribosomal RNA", at positions 65 to 339 of the family's 1533-position model. The record is from RNAcentral.